This is a non-coding RNA of Pelobates cultripes (western spadefoot toad), 482 nucleotides long. Lineage: Eukaryota; Metazoa; Chordata; Amphibia; Anura; Pelobatidae. The record is from the annotation of a GenBank genome assembly.
GGUUACUCUAAUUGAGAAGGGGGGUGGCCCUCAGGUAGAAUUUUACUUUAAUGCAAAGAAAAGAAAACACAAGGGUACACCGUUUAGGAGAUAAACCCUUUAGUGUGAGGAGUAACCCAAGAGUAAAUAAAUAAAACGUCACUUUUAAUAUAGGUGUGCCAGAUCCAUCUGUCUUGGAAUUACUGUUAUUUCAUGCUCAUUUGUCUGUUUGUUCAUGCAUUUUGUAGCGGAGAGCUGAUUUUCCACAGCUUAACUCCACCAAGUACUUUAAGAGGAUGCAGGAACAAGUAAUAAAUCCAAGAGAAUAUCCAGCACAAUCAGCAUUACAAUCCAAUAAUAUCCCAUCACUUUCCCCAAUCACUGGACGACACAUAGUAUCAGGAGUAGAACUGAACUUUUAAUCACACAACCUUCUUUUAAAGCAUUCUCCCAUGCAAGGGAGGGAUUUACAGUAAUUACACAAUACACCAAUCAUACACGAG